Helianthus annuus (common sunflower) is the source of this 514-nucleotide long non-coding RNA. RefSeq lists it as uncharacterized. The transcript is spliced from 3 exons. The record is from RefSeq and is a predicted model, not a curated record. Lineage: Eukaryota; Viridiplantae; Streptophyta; Magnoliopsida; Asterales; Asteraceae.
UACACGUGUCCUGAUUCAUUUUCGGUUUAAUAAGGUUAGAUCAGGCAAUUAACCUAAUCAUCAGAGGGCAAAUUCGUCUCUUCAUUCAUUCAGCGAGAAGUUCGUUACACUGAUAUCCCGAGUAGCACUGGACGAACAGAUGUUGAUUUUGAAGAAAAUCGACCGAUCGGUGAUCAUGCUCAAUUAUCUGCUUAUCAGAGAGUUUCGAUUGAGGAUGUUUUAAAUCCGCGACCUGCAAAUCCAAUUCCAAUUUCAAGUACAAGUCAUGCAAACGAGUGUUCUAAUGAUGAAAGGGUUUACACUCCGGAGGUUCAAGCAUCACCUACACCUGUUGUUGGAAUGCAAUUUAUCUCUAUUGAACAAGCAUAUGCGUUUUAUCAAUCAUAUGCUAAGUUAGCUGGUUUUUCUAUUCGGAAAGGUGGUGAAGUAUACAGUGGUGGUAUAAUCAAAACUAAGUAUUUUGUUUGUUCUAAAGAGGGACAUAAGCCUCUGUGUAUUGAUGAUCAUUCGAAGU